GUCACCCCCACAUCGUCUCCCGGUGAGUUGGCUAUUGGCAUCGGACCAUCGGCUAUAUUAUUAUUUUCUCCUCUAAACAACACUUUGGUUCCUGGGGCAGGGAGGCGAGUCUGAAAGAAGACAUGCUAUGGAAGAGAAAUAGCCCUCAGCUGCACACCCCUCAGCCUCAGCAGCAUCAGCCUCAUCCUCAACACACAGGAGCAGCUAGACCCUAUUGGGGAGCAGCCUCUGUUGGACCAGCAGGAAAUGGAGCAGGAGCCAGGAACAAGCCUGAAAAACCUCUUCCGGGGCAGUGGACGUAGCCCUGGAAUAAGGAACCUGAAAUUCCCUCUUUCAAUUGAUACACAGCCCACCUCCAGUCUGUAGGCAAGACCAUCACAACGGCAAAUUUCUACCUGAGGAACAUACAGC
This is a long non-coding RNA of Perca fluviatilis (European perch), 411 nucleotides long. RefSeq lists it as uncharacterized. The record is from RefSeq and is a predicted model, not a curated record. NCBI's taxonomy places the organism in Eukaryota, Metazoa, Chordata, Actinopteri, Perciformes, Percidae. The transcript has 3 exons.